RNAcentral lists this ribosomal RNA (897 nucleotides) under Emesopsis sp. RNAcentral's name for it is "SSU rRNA". It matches the Rfam family "Eukaryotic small subunit ribosomal RNA", at positions 86 to 886 of the family's 1831-position model. The record is from RNAcentral. Lineage: Eukaryota; Metazoa; Arthropoda; Insecta; Hemiptera; Reduviidae.
ACCGCAAAGGGCUCAGUAAACCAGUUUUAAUUUACUAGAGUUUUUACGUUACGUACGUGGAUACCUGUGGUAAUUCUAGAGCUAAUACAUGCAAUAAAGUCCGAACCAGUAAUGGAAAGGACGCUUUUAUUAGAUCAAAACCAUUCGCCCAACUUGUUGGGCGUUGUUUUGAUGAAUCUAGAUAACACAUUUGAUCGUACAGUCUUUGUACUGACGACGUCUCUUUCAAACGCCUGACUUAUCAGCUGUCGAUGGUAGACUCUGUGUCUACCAUGGCACUCACGGGUAACGGGGAAUCAGGGUUCGAUUCCGGAGAGGGAGCCUGAGAAACGGCUACCACAUCCAAGGAAGGCAGCAGGCACGCAAAUUACCCACUCCCGGCACGGGGAGGUAGUGACAAAAAAUAACGAUACGGGACUCUAUUGAGGCCCCGUAAUCGGAAUGAGUACACUUUAAAUCCUUUAACAAGGAUCCAUUGGAGGGCAAGUCUGGUGCCAGCAGCCGCGGUAAUUCCAGCUCCAAUAGCGUAUAUUAAAGUUGUUGCGGUUAAAAAGCUCGUAGUUGGUUCUGCGUGCCGCGCUGUCGGUUCGCCGCCUGUCGGUGUAACUGGCAUGUCGCGGCAUGUCCUGUCGGUGGUGAACGAGACCCCAGGUUCGUGGCAGAGGCCUUGUGCCUUUGCUAUGUUCUGUAGGUGGUGUCGUUUGCCGAUCUCUCCUACUCCGGUGCUCUUAAACGAGUGUCGAGGUAGGCCGACACGGUCACUUUGAACAAAUUAGAGUGCUUAAAGCAGGCUGAAAUAUCUGCCUGAAUAGUAGUGCAUGGAAUGAUAAAAUAGGACCUCGGUUCUAUUUUGUUGGUUUUAGGAAUAUGAGGUAAUGAUCAAUAUGGACUGGCGGG